This 29-nucleotide non-coding RNA is filed under the name Mus musculus (house mouse). The record is from RNAcentral. Lineage: Eukaryota; Metazoa; Chordata; Mammalia; Rodentia; Muridae.
UCUAAGAGAAAAAAUAUUGAUGCAGCAUG